RNAcentral lists this ribosomal RNA (220 nucleotides) under Escherichia coli. Its description in RNAcentral is "partial 23S ribosomal RNA". It matches the Rfam family "Bacterial large subunit ribosomal RNA", at positions 2723 to 2925 of the family's 2925-position model. The record is from RNAcentral. Lineage: Bacteria; Pseudomonadati; Pseudomonadota; Gammaproteobacteria; Enterobacterales; Enterobacteriaceae.
GUCAUGCCAAUGGCACUGCCCGGUAGCUAAAUGCGGAAGAGAUAAGUGCUGAAAGCAUCUAAGCACGAAACUUGCCCCGAGAUGAGUUCUCCCUGACUCUUUAAGGGUCCUGAAGGAACGUUGAAGACGACGACGUUGAUAGGCCGGGUGUGUAAGCGCAGCGAUGCGUUGAGCUAACCGGUACUAAUGAACCGUGAGGCUUAACCUUACAACGCCGAAG